Molecule: ribosomal RNA, 449 nt
Filed under: uncultured bacterium
Lineage: Bacteria
Description: partial 16S ribosomal RNA
Rfam family: Bacterial small subunit ribosomal RNA
Source: RNAcentral
GUCGAGAAUCUUUCACAAUGGGGGCAACCCUGAUGGAGCGACGCCGCGUGGAGGAUAAGGUCUUCGGAUUGUAAACUCCUGUCAUGCGUGAACAAGGUUGCUUGGUUAAUACCUGGGCAAAUUGAUGGUAACGCAAGAGGAAGAGACGGCUAACUCUGUGCCAGCAGCCGCGGUAAUACAGAGGUCUCAAGCGUUGUUCGGAAUCACUGGGCGUAAAGGGUGCGUAGGUGGCGUGGUAAGUCAGAUGUGAAAGCCCGGGGCUCAACCUCGGAACUGCAUCCGAUACUGCCAUGCUAGAGUACUGGAGAGGUGACUAGAAUUCUCGGUGUAGCAGUGAAAUGCGUAGAUAUCGAGAGGAAUACCAAAGGCGUAGGCAGGUCACUGGACAGUUACUGACACUGAGGCACGAAGGCCAGGGGAGCGAAAGGGAUUAGAAACCCCAGUAGUCC